RNAcentral lists this RNase P RNA (365 nucleotides) under Ruminococcus sp. CAG:624. RNAcentral describes it as "Bacterial RNase P class A". It matches the Rfam family "Bacterial RNase P class A". From Rfam's summary of the family: Ribonuclease P (RNase P) is a ubiquitous endoribonuclease, found in archaea, bacteria and eukarya as well as chloroplasts and mitochondria. Its best characterised activity is the generation of mature 5'-ends of tRNAs by cleaving the 5'-leader elements of precursor-tRNAs. Lineage: Bacteria; Bacillati; Bacillota; Clostridia; Eubacteriales; Oscillospiraceae. The record is from Rfam by way of RNAcentral.
UGAGCAGACUAUGCGGUAGCGGAAACGCUUUAGUUUACGAGGAAAGUCCGAGCAUCACAGAGCAGGAUAGCUGCUAACGGCAGCCGAGGGCGACCUUAGGGNNNNNNNGCGACCUUAGGGCUAGUGCAACAGAGAUAUACUGCCUUGUUUUCAAGGUGAUGGUGGAAAGGUAGAGUAAGAGCCUACCAGAGUACAGGAGACUGUGCUGCUAUGUAAACCCUAUUCGAUGCAACGUCUAUUGGUGCUUUAUAUCAUAACAUCUGCUCGGUGGAUAUAAAGUAAUGACGGCUUGAGCUUAUCGGCGACGAUAAGCCUAGAUAAAUUACCGCACACGACAGAACUCGGCUUAUCGGUCUGGUUACAAA